Long non-coding RNA from Triticum aestivum (bread wheat), 1162 nucleotides. RefSeq lists it as uncharacterized. NCBI's taxonomy places the organism in Eukaryota, Viridiplantae, Streptophyta, Magnoliopsida, Poales, Poaceae. The record is from RefSeq and is a predicted model, not a curated record. The transcript has 3 exons.
CUUUAUUUAUCAUAGGAGGAAAUCCACCCACCUUUUCCGAUUUGUGAAAGUUUAAGAUGAUUUUGGACAAAUCAAGCUUAAAGAAUAUAUCUUGCAAGUUCGAUAACUGUCAAUACAUCUUGAUAUUUUUGAUUUUGGACUUGGGCUUUGUCGAUUGGAAAAAAUAGUUGAUCCAAACAAACACCAUGUAGUCUUAUGGACGUAUGAGCCAUCUCACUGUAUGUGGAGCUUUUCUCUUGCACCCAACUACUUUAUUUUAGCUCUGUCACUGUGAUCUCCAAUUUCGUUCCCAGGUGUACCAUUACUAUGGUCACGGUCUUGCAAAUGCUUCAUGUGUAGCUUUUCAGCCUUGCAAAUUAGUUAUUUUGAUUGCUACAUACAUAUUGUUGAAAUAUUGGUGCGUUGAAAAGAUAUGGGUGGAAUUAACAAACUGACUAGACAUAUGAAACAAAUUAAUGAUGCAUUGUCAGAUCCUCUUGCUUUUGCUAAUUUGAACAAGGUAAUAUUUAAGAUUUAUUACAAUCUUCCGUUUCGUUGUUUUAGCUGAGUCACUUAUCAUUAAUACUAUUGCACAAAAUGUGCAGGAUUAACCAAAGGAGGAACUUGAAGAAUUGGAGGUAGCAGUGUGUGUCUUGUAAACAAGCAAGCAAUUCUCCCUGCUCCACAGAAAGCUACAGCUGAAGAUGAAGAACUUGCUACACUACAAGCCGAAACUUCGCUAUGACCAGGGUGACUACGAAGAGGAUUGAGAAAGAAAAUAGUAGUACAAACUUACAAAAUACUCUUUUACAGAGAUCUAGUCCUAAUAAGACUCAAGGUGGAAGGCUAAUUGUUAUUUCUCCAAAUGCGCUCAUACAAGCUGCAACAAAGAAUUCUCAAAUGUUUGAAGCAAUGGAUCCAAAGAACUAGAUCGACUGGACUCUAGAUCACGGACAAUUUAGUCUUGGCACUUAAUUAGGAUGGCUAAAUUACAUUUGAUUUUCAUUUGAUGGAUAUUUUCUAUGAGAAUUAUGAAUUUUAUGAAUCUACAUAUUAUACGUAUGGUUUUGAAUAUUGUAAUUGAAUUCCUCUAUAUUUUUUUACGGUUGCAAUAGGAUAUUACCACAACCCACUUUUGGUUGCCACAUGUUAGCACCACGAAAAUUUUAUAUUGUCGCAAUAG